RNAcentral lists this long non-coding RNA (1429 nucleotides) under Homo sapiens (human). RNAcentral's name for it is "HSALNT0146731". The record is from RNAcentral. Lineage: Eukaryota; Metazoa; Chordata; Mammalia; Primates; Hominidae.
AUUUGCUAUACUUUUUAUUGUUAUUUUGGAGUGUACUCCUUCUGCUUAUUUUUUUAAGUCAAAAACAGCCUCAGGCAGGUCCUUCAGGAGGUAUUCUAGAGGAAGAUACUGUUAUCAUAGUAGAUGACAGCCCCAUGCAUGUUAUUGCCCCUGAAAACCUUCCAGUGGGACAAGAUGUGGAGGUAGAAGACAGUGAUACUGAUGAUCCCGACCCUGUGUGCUUAGGCUAAUGUGUGUGUUUGUGUCUUAGUUUUCAAUUAAAAAGCCUAAAAACUAAAAAGAAAUAAAAACGUAAAAAAUAGAAAAAUCUUGUAGAAUAAGGAUAUAAUGAAAGAAAAUAUUUUUGUACAACUGUAGAAUGUGUUGUGUUUUAAGCUAAGUAUUAUUAUAAAAGAGUCAAAAACUUUUUGUCUUUUGUACCUUAUUUUUACUGUAACUUUUCUAUGCUUAGAUACACAAAUACUUCCCAUUGUGUUACAACUGGCUCUGGCUACAAUAUUCAAUACAGUAACAUGCUGUACAGAUUUGUAGCCUAGGAGCAAUAGGUUGUAUCACACAGGUUUAUGGAAACACACUUUAUGACGUUCACACAAUGGUGAAAUCGGCCCUUUUCUCAGAAUGUAUCCCUGUUGUUAAGAGAUGCAUGACUGUACAUUGUGUAGAUCAAUGUAUGUGAAAAUUAUACUCAUUUGUUAAGUUCCAGAAUAUGUGUUUGAUUUCCCCAAGCAGAAAUAAUCUCUCCUCUUUUUGUGUUUCCUCACAGUUUUUUACAUUUGACUUUUUACUCUACAUAUGGAUGAAUUGUACUAUAUCAUCUACUACUUUUUUUAGCCCUUUGCUUAUCUCUGUAUCUACAGUGAAGGCUGGGUUAAUUGAAUGACACAGACUAGAAUUGAAGUAAAGCAUUUUUUUCUAGUAAAUUCUACAAUCUUUGGUCCUUAUUGUAUAAAUGUGGUCAUAGAAAAGAUACCUUUCUCACUAUGGUUAACCUACAUUAAAAAAAACUAAGAAGGAGCACCGUGUUUAGUUACUGACACCUAAUCCUUUGUUUUUCUUAGACUUAGGUCAGCAGAAAUAUGAAGCCUGGUAAGACUGCCUGUAUUUCCAGGUUUUGUAACCCUGGUUUAUUCAUCAAACUAUUGUGAACUUUGGCCCAAUCAUGUUCUUUUGCAGCCUGUAUAUUUGUUUAUCAUUCACUUGCAUAGAAAAGAUACCACCUAUUGUAAAGAAUCUGUUUGUAGAAAUUGUAGAACAUGAAAGGAGGCUGGUUAGUCAAUACGCGUAUUUUGUGUUUCCCUAUAUAAUGACCAAUUGAUUUGUUUCAGGGUAAUCUCAGCUCUAACUGCUAAUCCAGAAAGGAAGUGCCUAAUCUUUACAGAACUACUGGAGUAAAAGGGUAUGUUUUUCUUUGCUUAUCACAGGUUUAAUU